AUUGAACGCUGGCGGAAUGCUUUACACAUGCAAGUCGAACGGCAGCACGGGGCAACCUGGUGGCGAGUGGCGAACGGGUGAGUAAUAUAUCGGAACGUGCCCAAUCGUGGGGGAUAACGUAGCGAAAGUUACGCUAAUACCGCAUACGAUCUACGGAUGAAAGCGGGGGAUCGCAAGACCUCGCGCGAAUGGAGCGGCCGAUAUCAGAUUAGGUAGUUGGUGGGGUAAAGGCUCACCAAGCCAACGAUCUGUAGCUGGUCUGAGAGGAUGAUCAGCCACACUGGAACUGAGACACGGUCCAGACUCCUACGGGAGGCAGCAGUGGGGAAUAUUGCGCAAUGGGCGAAAGCCUGACGCAGCCACGCCGCGUGAGCGAUGAAGGCCUUCGGGUCGUAAAG
This 398-nucleotide ribosomal RNA is filed under the name uncultured bacterium. RNAcentral describes it as "bacterial SSU rRNA". It matches the Rfam family "Bacterial small subunit ribosomal RNA", at positions 29 to 430 of the family's 1533-position model. The record is from RNAcentral.